CGAGAGUUUUUAACUCAAGUGGCGGACGGGUGAGUAACACGUAAGAAUUUGCCUUUAGGAGGGGGACAAGGAUAACAUCUGAGAAAUACCCCAUAUGCUUUCGAGUGAAAUGGAUUUUUCCGCCUAGAGAGAAGCUUGCGGCUGAUUAGCUUGUUGGUAAGGUAAUGGCUUACCAAGGCGACGAUCAGUAUCUGGUUUGAGAGGACGAUCAGACACACUGGAACUGAGACACGGUCCAG
RNAcentral lists this ribosomal RNA (239 nucleotides) under uncultured bacterium. RNAcentral describes it as "partial 16S ribosomal RNA". It matches the Rfam family "Bacterial small subunit ribosomal RNA", at positions 67 to 334 of the family's 1533-position model. The record is from RNAcentral.